CGGGCCGUGGCGCAGCCUGGUUAGCGCGCCUGACUGGGGGUCAGGAGGUCGCGAGUUCGAAUCUCGCCGGCCCGACCA
Molecule: transfer RNA, 78 nt
Filed under: Myxococcales bacterium
Lineage: Bacteria; Pseudomonadati; Myxococcota; Myxococcia; Myxococcales
Also listed under: 2 other names
Description: tRNA-Pro
Rfam family: tRNA
About the family: Transfer RNA (tRNA) molecules are approximately 80 nucleotides in length. Their secondary structure includes four short double-helical elements and three loops (D, anti-codon, and T loops). Further hydrogen bonds mediate the characteristic L-shaped molecular structure. tRNAs have two regions of fundamental functional importance: the anti-codon, which is responsible for specific mRNA codon recognition, and the 3' end, to which the tRNAs corresponding amino acid is attached (by aminoacyl-tRNA synthetases). tRNAs cope with the degeneracy of the genetic code in two manners: having more than one tRNA (with a specific anti-codon) for a particular amino acid; and 'wobble' base-pairing, i.e. permitting non-standard base-pairing at the 3rd anti-codon position.
Source: RNAcentral